CUAAAUACUCUCUAGUGACCGAUAGUGAACCAGUACCGUGAGGGAAAGGUGAAAAGCACCCCGGAAGGGGAGUGAAAUAGAACCUGAAACCGUGUGCUUACAAGUAGUCAGAGCCCGUUAAUGGGUGAUGGCGUGCCUUUUGUAGAAUGAACCGGCGAGUUACGAUUUGAUGCAAGGUUAAGCAGUAAAUGUGGAGCCGUAGCGAAAGCGAGUCUGAAUAGGGCGUUUAGUAUUUGGUCGUAGACCCGAAACCAGGUGAUCUACCCUUGGUCAGGUUGAAGUUCAGGUAACACUGAAUGGAGGACCGAACCGACUUACGUUGAAAAGUGAGCGGAUGAACUGAGGGUAGCGGAGAAAUUCCAAUCGAACCUGGAGAUAGCUGGUUCUCUCCGAAAUAGCUUUAGGGCUAGCCUCAAGUGAUGAUUAUUGGAGGUAGAGCACUGUUUGGACGAGGGGCCCCUCUCGGGUUACCGAAUUCAGACAAACUCCGAAUGCCAAUUAAUUUAACUUGGGAGUCAGAACAUGGGUGAUAAGGUCCGUGUUCGAAAGGGAAACAGCCCAGACCACCAGCUAAGGUCCCAAAAUAUAUGUUAAGUGGAAAAGGAUGUGGCGUUGCCCAGACAACUAGGAUGUUGGCUUAGAAGCAGCCAUCAUUUAAAGAGUGCGUAAUAGCUCACUAGUCGAGUGACACUGCGCCGAAAAUGUACCGGGGCUAAACAUAUUACCGAAGCUGUGGAUUGUCCUUUGGACAAUGGUAGGAGAGCGUUCUAAGGGCGUUGAAGCAUGAUCGUAAGGACAUGUGGAGCGCUUAGAAGUGAGAAUGCCGGUGUGAGUAGCGAAAGACGGGUGAGAAUCCCGUCCACCGAUUGACUAAGGUUUCCAGAGGAAGGCUCGUCCGCUCUGGGUUAGUCGGGUCCUAAGCUGAGGCCGACAGGCGUAGGCGAUGGAUAACAGGUUGAUAUUCCUGUACCACCUAUAAUCGUUUUA
Molecule: ribosomal RNA, 987 nt
Filed under: Staphylococcus aureus
Lineage: Bacteria; Bacillati; Bacillota; Bacilli; Caryophanales; Staphylococcaceae
Description: partial 23S ribosomal RNA
Rfam family: Bacterial large subunit ribosomal RNA
Source: RNAcentral